GCACUGCCGAGGAAUCCCAUAAUAGAACGAAACGGCCGUCAAGUGC
This 46-nucleotide non-coding RNA is filed under the name Schistosoma mansoni. The record is from RNAcentral. Lineage: Eukaryota; Metazoa; Platyhelminthes; Trematoda; Strigeidida; Schistosomatidae.